Molecule: ribosomal RNA, 468 nt
Filed under: uncultured bacterium
Lineage: Bacteria
Description: partial 16S ribosomal RNA
Rfam family: Bacterial small subunit ribosomal RNA
Source: RNAcentral
GACGAACGCUGGCGGCGUGCUUAACACAUGCAAGUCGAACGGAAAGGCCCUGCUUUUGUGGGGUGCUCGAGUGGCGAACGGGUGAGUAACACGUGAGUAACCUGCCCUUGACUUUGGGAUAACUUCAGGAAACUGGGGCUAAUACCGGAUAGGAGCUCCUGCUGCAUGGUGGGGGUUGGAAAGUUUCGGCGGUUGGGGAUGGACUCGCGGCUUAUCAGCUUGUUGGUGGGGUAGUGGCUUACCAAGGCUUUGACGGGUAGCCGGCCUGAGAGGGUGACCGGCCGCAUUGGGACUGAGGUACGGCCCAGACUCCUACGGGAGGCAGCAGGGGGGAAUAUUGCACAAUGGGCGGAAGCCGGAUGCAGCAACGCCGCGUGCGGGAUGACGGCCUUCGGGUUGUAGACCGCUUUCGCCUGUGACGAAGCGUGAGUGACGGUAAUGGGUAAAGAAGCACCGGCUAACUACGUG